UGUUCCUUUGGAACCUAGGUUAGCUGCUUUGUGUGGAGAAGGUAAAAAAGAGAACCAUUUUAGCCAAAAUUAACAGGUAACCUCUUGCACAUGGCCUCAUAAGGCUUAAUUGAAUUCCUUUUAUGAAGUUUUCCCUAAAAUUCUCCCCAAAAAGAAAGAAAGAAUGCCAAAAAAUCUGCAUUUGCUCCUAACUUAGUGUUUACUUCAAUAUCAUUCUAUAAAAUAAUAGAAAAGCCUUUGAGUUUUUUUUUUUUUUUAAAAAAUUGUUGUUAGUAAAUAAAUAAUAGAAAAAGGAAAAUUGUAUCCCAAACCCAAAUUCCAAAAUGUGAAAAGUCGAAAACCCCUUAUUAGGGGAGUGAUACAUUUAAUUUCACUCAAAACCCAAAGAGCAGACAGUUGAGGCAAGGGUUAGCGCGAGCACCGGCUUCCAAGGGAGAAAGGAAGAGAGAUAUGGGACUGUCAAGCAGAGUAGGAGAUUGGGCUUUCAAGGCGUUCACCGCUAGUCUGGGCGUCGCCACCAUUUAUCUAACCGCCACUUUCUCCGUCAACGUCUAUAGAGGCCUCUCUUGGCACAACGCUCAAUCGAAAGCUGAGAAGCAAAGCACUAGCGAACAAUCUUCAUGACUUGAGUUUUUCAGCUGUCAUAUAUUUUUUCAGGGCCGUGAAAUUACCAUGUAAACUUUCAUCUCGACUUCAUUGUUUUCUAGCAGGGUAGCAAGUUGAAUUCGAGGCCAAUGUGUCUCAAAUAUGUUUUAACUAGAUGCAUUACAUGGAUGUACCAUCCUGUAGUUUGAUUUUGCAGCAAAUAUGAGUUGGUUUACCUGGCAUUUACAAGUCUUA
Long non-coding RNA from Manihot esculenta (cassava), 840 nucleotides. RefSeq lists it as uncharacterized. The record is from RefSeq and is a predicted model, not a curated record. The transcript has 2 exons. NCBI's taxonomy places the organism in Eukaryota, Viridiplantae, Streptophyta, Magnoliopsida, Malpighiales, Euphorbiaceae.